This 1036-nucleotide unclassified non-coding RNA is filed under the name Pectinophora gossypiella (pink bollworm). Its description in RNAcentral is "uncharacterized LOC126374210". Lineage: Eukaryota; Metazoa; Arthropoda; Insecta; Lepidoptera; Gelechiidae. The record is from RNAcentral.
ACCGCGCCGCUUGACGAACGUCUCAUGUGGAUUUACACCAAUUUUCAUAAACUACUCGUAAACCUUAAGAUUUACGCGUGCACAAGUGCGAUAGAGCAUCAUAAGGUCCCGCGAUAUCUUAAGACUAAACGCUAUUAGUAUAUAAAGCACAUUCCUAUGAUGCUAGAAGACCUUCACAACGGAACGAUGGACAACGAUUCCAGCGAGAGUGAAGAGGCCGACCGUCCGACCAAUAUAGUCAUCUUUCCGUGCAAACUGCUUAGGAAAUUCAUACAUCUGUACAAAGAGCAGCGCUGCCUAUGGGACCGGACAAGUUUCGUGUACAAACAAAAGCAAAAGCGGCACGAAGCUAUUACGAAGCUGACGAAGUUAGUGCAAGAGCACGAACCCAGUGCAACACGAGUGCACGUAUUGAGGAAGAUAGAAAGCUUGCGCGCGUGCGUGCGACGCGAACACAAACGGGUGCUAGACAGCCGACGGAUCGCGACUAACCCCGACGAAAUAUACAAGCCCCACCUUUGGUACUACGAUCUGUUUUCAUUCAUGUUCGAGGAUAACAGCUAUAACGCAGCAAAAGCGGAGGAUAAAGGCAGCAAAACGCAACAGGCGGGCGUCGCGGGAUCUGAAGAAGAGGAAGAAGGACAACCAGUGUACGAAGAAGAGCCUCACGAAUUUGAACAUUCGGUAGACCCAUCAGAUUACAGCUUAGCAACCAGUAUGGUGGAAGUGUCAGACAAUAGCAAACGCUAUUCGGACGUUGACGACGAUGGAAAAACCAAGCGACUAUGUGCAGAUGUACUGGACGAAUAUGAUGCUAUUGGUAAAUAUGGGUUAUAGAUUCAAGUUCACAAUGAAUUACCUAGGUCUACAUACUAGUAGAACUAUUAAAAAUUUUGUUUUACUGGUAUAAACGUAGCUGCAAAGCUUCGAAAUCUUCCACCCAACAUGAGGAUCGUAGCGGAGAAACUGAUAAAUGACGUACUCUUCCAAGCCCAGCUGAAUGGACUCAACUCUUCCACAGUGAUCAUCACUGCAG